This is a long non-coding RNA of Dioscorea cayenensis subsp. rotundata (Guinea yam), 684 nucleotides long. RefSeq lists it as uncharacterized. The record is from RefSeq and is a predicted model, not a curated record. The transcript has 2 exons. NCBI's taxonomy places the organism in Eukaryota, Viridiplantae, Streptophyta, Magnoliopsida, Dioscoreales, Dioscoreaceae.
UCUUUAGGUUUAACCCUACCCGUUUCAUAAUCUAAUCUUGCUCAAUUUGGUUUUAUCCAUUUCUCGAUCUUGAGCUCCUUCAUUGUUCUCUCUGAUCGAACUUCUCCAUGACCUGAUUGUUGUUUCCGAUGUGGAAUUUAGAUCAUUUUCAUGCAUGGAUUUAUGAAGCUCCACCACACCACGAAGGAGCACAUGCUAGGCCUCAUCGAAACGCUAGAUCUAAUUUCUCCUACCAGAUCAACGAUCUAGCAAGGCAGCGGCGCACCGACCCAUAGACUGCAGAUGCUGGUUGAUUAGUUGCAGAGAGACAUGAAGGGCAUCGGAUGGGGAUCAUGCCAUGUGGCAGCACUUGACUGGCGGAAUGAUGUCUCUAUAGUGGUCAGGAAGAAGAUAUCAGGUCUGGAGCGGAGGGGGAGACCUCCAAAGAAUAAGAAGGCCCAAAUCAUUCAGUGUGAUGGACAAUGGAAGGGAGAGCAUCUACACAAAUGUGAGAAUAUAACUCUUGGUCUUGUUUUAUAGUGUGACGUAACACAAUAGAAUUUGAACUUAUGUUUGUGCAUAUUCAUGGCAAUUUUUUUAUUUUUUUGUGGAUAUUGGUAGGUUUUCUUUAUUCAUUCUAUGUAAUCCAUCUAAUCAUGGUGAUCAACUUAAGGUAUGCAAAUAUGAUAGAUCUUUCUUGGUGAA